GCCGCACUGCUUGUGGGAGUGGAAAUUGGGGGCCAGAGCUCACUGGUGACGUGGUCGUCACGUGACCAAGAGCUGCCUAGAGCAGAAGUCCUGCUAGUCGCCUCCGUCUGGGUACCAGCCCCCUAUUACUCUGCAGGCGUGCGAAGGAAGAAGGAAACUAGCCCCGGACCGCGAGGUUUGUAGGUCUGUUGGCCUAUACGUCGCCUCAAAAGUCGUGCCGAGGGAAGGAGCGAACUGCCUUGGGACCGUGCAGGUCCGUGUGAAGUUCUCCAAAGCCAGCUAUCUGUGUUUCCGACCUUCUGCCAGACUGUCCAUCAAUCUCCCUGGAAGGAGCACUGACAACAGAAGACGAGGGAAGAAGAAGAAAUUUACCUGAUUUUGAUUCAUCACAAGCUACAGGAGCCCAGGAGAGGCUGAAGAGGACUACGCCCCACCAUUCCUCACCCUGGCCCUGAGAAGCCUCCUCAGUCAGGUGGAACAAGGCCCUCUCCUGUCCUGUCCCA
This 503-nucleotide long non-coding RNA is filed under the name Ursus maritimus (polar bear). RNAcentral describes it as "lncRNA (ENSUMAG00000001233.1)". Lineage: Eukaryota; Metazoa; Chordata; Mammalia; Carnivora; Ursidae. The record is from RNAcentral.